Molecule: long non-coding RNA, 348 nt
Filed under: Homo sapiens (human)
Lineage: Eukaryota; Metazoa; Chordata; Mammalia; Primates; Hominidae
Description: HSALNT0232932
Source: RNAcentral
GUCCUUGGGAGGAGCGUGGGGGACUGAGAUGGGGGAGGGGUCAUUGGAAUGAUGCGGGCGCUACUUGGCAUUGUCCAUUGUGAGGCACCACCGGGGUCAUCAGGGAUUGGUGGAGAGGGAGUAUAAAGCCCCAGGGUUGCUAAGGGAGGGCCCAGACCGAAGAAGGUUUGGUGGAAAGGAGAACCUUUGUCUCCUUCUAAUUGCUCCUAAGCCUCACGCUCCCUUGCCCUGCGUGUCCUGUUGCUUCCCUGAUCUUCUACGUGACCUGUAGCUAAACCUUCCACCAGCGCUUGAGAACUUAAUUUGAACUGGAUCCUUUCCCAGACCGCUUUCUUCUCCUCCUCCUCC